Molecule: ribosomal RNA, 503 nt
Filed under: Yumtaax veracrucensis
Lineage: Eukaryota; Metazoa; Arthropoda; Insecta; Coleoptera; Passalidae
Description: eukaryotic LSU rRNA
Rfam family: Eukaryotic large subunit ribosomal RNA
Source: RNAcentral
CUUUGGGUUUCUGGUGGCAGACCCAUCACCGUCUCCGGACGGAGUUGGGACCCGGAUUAGCCCGGCCGACGGCGGACGGUAGAACCAUGUGGCGGGGGGCGGCGCUCCACGAAAGUUCAGCGCGUCCGGGCCGGCGCAAACUCUCACGGACACACGAAUUGCCGGACUUUAGCGCCGCAUUCGUUUCCGUGCGGUUGUUGGCGUCGGUCUCCUCGGACCGACCCCUACGGCGGACCGGUUUCGGUUCGUCGGUCGCCCGUCCGCGACGCUAUAGCUUUGGGUACUUUCAGGACCCGUCUUGAAACACGGACCAAGGAGUCUAGCAUGUGCGCGAGUCAUUGGGACUCUUAAUAAACCUAAAGGCGAAAUGAAAGUGAAGGAUCCGGACCACGCGUCCGGAUCGAGGGAAGAUGGCCGAUCCGAGGAUCGCGCCCGCACUCCCGGGGCGUCUCGAUCUCAUAGCGAGAUGAGGCGCACCCAGAGCGUACACGCUGGGACCCGAA